RNAcentral lists this non-coding RNA (29 nucleotides) under Mus musculus (house mouse). Lineage: Eukaryota; Metazoa; Chordata; Mammalia; Rodentia; Muridae. The record is from RNAcentral.
UAACAUGGCCAUACAUUCUUCACGCUCAU